RNAcentral lists this ribosomal RNA (230 nucleotides) under uncultured Pseudomonas sp. RNAcentral describes it as "partial 16S ribosomal RNA". It matches the Rfam family "Bacterial small subunit ribosomal RNA", at positions 1152 to 1382 of the family's 1533-position model. The record is from RNAcentral. Lineage: Bacteria; Pseudomonadati; Pseudomonadota; Gammaproteobacteria; Pseudomonadales; Pseudomonadaceae.
CCGGUGACAAACCGGAGGAAGGUGGGAUGACGUCAAGUCAUCAUGGCCCUUACGGCCUGGGCUACACACGUGCUACAAUGGUCGGUACAAAGGGUUGCCAAGCCGCGAGGUGGAGCUAAUCCCAUAAAACCGAUCGUAGUCCGGAUCGCAGUCUGCAACUCGACUGCGUGAAGUCGGAAUCGCUAGUAAUCGUGAAUCAGAAUGUCACGGUGAAUACGUUCCCGGGCCUU